Molecule: ribosomal RNA, 468 nt
Filed under: uncultured bacterium
Lineage: Bacteria
Description: partial 16S ribosomal RNA
Rfam family: Bacterial small subunit ribosomal RNA
Source: RNAcentral
GACGAACGCUGGCGGCGUGCUUAACACAUGCAAGUCGAACGGCAAGGCCCUGCUUUUGUUGGGUGCUCGAGUGGCGAACGUGUGAGUAACACGUGAGUCUCCUGCCCUUUACUUUGUGAUAACUUCAGGCAACUGCGGCUAAUACCUGCUAGCAGCUCCUGCUGCAUGGUGGGGGUUGGACAUUUUCGGCGGUUGUGGAUGGACUCCCGGGUUAUCAGCUUGUUGGUGGGGUAGUGGCUUACCCAGGCUUUGAAGGGUAGCCGGCCUGGGAGGGUGACCGGGGACAUGGGGACUGAGAGACGGCCCAGAGGCGAACGGGAGGCAGAAGGGGGGAAUAUUGCACAGUGGGCGGAAGCCUGAUGAAGCAACGCCGCGUGCGGGAUGACGGCCUGCGGGGUAUAAACCGCUUUCGCCUGUGACGAAGCGUGAGUGACGGUAAUGGGUAAAGAAGCACCGGCUAACUACGUG